Molecule: ribosomal RNA, 253 nt
Filed under: uncultured bacterium
Lineage: Bacteria
Description: partial 16S ribosomal RNA
Rfam family: Bacterial small subunit ribosomal RNA
Source: RNAcentral
UACGUAGGGUGCUAGCGUUGCUCGGAAUCACUGGGCGUAAAGCGCACGUAGGCCGCUUACUAAGUCAGGGGUGAAAUCCUGGAGCUCAACUCCAGAACUGCCUUUGAUACUGGUGAGCUUGAGUCCGGGAGAGGUGAGUGGAACUGCGAGUGUAGAGGUGAAAUUCGUAGAUAUUCGCAAGAACACCAGUGGCGAAGGCGGCUCACUGGCCCGGUACUGACGCUGAGGUGCGAAAGCGUGGGGAGCAAACAGG